RNAcentral lists this non-coding RNA (99 nucleotides) under Bacillus andreraoultii. Its description in RNAcentral is "SAM riboswitch (S box leader)". It matches the Rfam family "SAM riboswitch aptamer (S box leader)". From Rfam's summary of the family: The SAM riboswitch is found upstream of a number of genes which code for proteins involved in methionine or cysteine biosynthesis in Gram-positive bacteria. The SAM riboswitch acts at the level of transcription termination control. The predicted structure consists of a complex stem-loop region followed by a single stem loop terminator region. The record is from RNAcentral. Lineage: Bacteria; Bacillati; Bacillota; Bacilli; Caryophanales; Bacillaceae.
UCUUAUCCAGAGAGGUGGAGGGACUGGCCCUGUGAAACCUCGGCAGCGGACUUAUAAAAGUACUGUGCCAAUUCCAGUAGCAAAUGCUUAAAGAUAAGA